This 374-nucleotide ribosomal RNA is filed under the name uncultured bacterium. RNAcentral's name for it is "bacterial SSU rRNA". It matches the Rfam family "Bacterial small subunit ribosomal RNA", at positions 523 to 898 of the family's 1533-position model. The record is from RNAcentral.
AUACGUAGGGGGCUAGCGUUAUCCGGAAUUACUGGGCGUAAAGGGUGCGUAGGUGGUAUCUUAAGUCAGAAGUGAAAGGCUACGGCUCAACCGUAGUAAGCUUUUGAAACUAAGAGACUUGAGUGCAGGAGAGGAGAGUAGAAUUCCUAGUGUAGCGGUGAAAUGCGUAGAUAUUAGGAGGAAUACCAGUUGCGAAGGCGGCUCUCUGGACUGUAACUGACACUGAGGCUCGAAAGCGUGGGGAGCAAACAGGAUUAGAUACCCUGGUAGUCCACGCCGUAAACGAUGGAUACUAGGUGUAGGAGGGCCCAACCUUCUGUGCCGCCGCAAACGCAUUAAGUAUCCCGCCUGGGGAGUACGGUCGCAAGAUUAAA